UAUGGGUCAGUGAUGAUGAGAACUACCUAUUUUAUGAUCUUCUUGUGAUUAUAAAACACCAAUGGAUCCUUCUGAGACCUCUA
This is a non-coding RNA of Populus trichocarpa (black cottonwood), 83 nucleotides long. The record is from Rfam. Lineage: Eukaryota; Viridiplantae; Streptophyta; Magnoliopsida; Malpighiales; Salicaceae.